This 955-nucleotide small RNA is filed under the name Pongo abelii (Sumatran orangutan). Its description in RNAcentral is "processed transcript". Lineage: Eukaryota; Metazoa; Chordata; Mammalia; Primates; Hominidae. The record is from RNAcentral.
GGAAUGGUCCUGUGGGGGUAUUUGAAUGGGAAGCUUUUGCCCAGGGAACCAAAGCUCUCAUGGAUGAGGUGGUGAAAGCCACUUCUAGGGGCUGCAUCACCAUCAUAGGUAAGCGGUCCUAUACAAAGCUAAUACCCAUAUAAGCUGGCAGAAUUCUGAUCAGAGGAAGGUGGAAUGGAGAACUUCUGUGUCUUUUUAUUCCGGGUAAAUCUUAAGAGGUAAACAGGUAGAUAAUUUACAGAGGAGCCUCUUGGUAAGAUAGAGUUGGGGGUUUAUAAGCUACCUUUUGGGUUGGGGAGCACACUGCCUUACAGUUUUGGUGCCAAUCCCUUUUUUUUUCUUUUCUCUCUUUUCCCUUUUUACCUGGCUUUCAUUCAACAGGUGGUGGAGACACUGCCACUUGCUGUGCCAAAUGGAACACGGAGGAUAAAGUCAGCCAUGUGAGCACUGGGGGUGGUGCCAGUUUGGAGCUCCUGGAAGGUAAAGUCCUUCCUGGGGUGGAUGCUCUCAGCAAUAUUUAGUACUUUCCUGCCUUUUAGUUCCUGUGCACAGCCCCUAAGUCAACUUAGCAUUUUCUGCAUCUCCACUUGGCAUUAGCUAAAACCUUCCAUGUCAGGAUUCAGCUAGUGGCCAAGAUAUGCAGUGCCAGGAACCCUUAAACAGUUGCACAGCAUCUCAGCUCAUCUUUACUGCACCCUGGAUUUGCCUACAUUCUUCAAGAUCCCAUUUGAAUUUCUUAGUGACUAAACCAUUGUGCAUUCUAGAGUGCAUAUAUUUAUAUUUUGCCUGUUAAAAAGAAAGUGAGCUGUGUUAACUUAGUUCUCUUUUGAUGUAGGUUGUGAUUAGCUUUGUCACUGUUUCACUACUCGGCAUGGAAACAAGAUGAAAUUCCAUUUGUAGGUAGGGAGACAAAAUUGAUGAUCCAUUAAGUAAACAAUAAAAGUGUCCAUUGAAA